UACGAAGGGGGCUAGCGUUGCUCGGAUUGACUGGGCGUAAAGGGCGCGUAGGCGGAUAGUACAGUCAGGCGUGAAAUCCCUCGGCUUAACCGGGGAACUGCGUCUGAUACUGGAUGGCUUGAGUUUGGGAGAGGGAUGCGGAAUUCCAGGUGUAGCGGUGAAAUGCGUAGAUAUCUGGAGGAACACCGGUGGCGAAGGCGGCAUCCUGGACCAACACUGACGCUGAGUGAGCGAAAGCCAGGGGAGCAAACGGG
Molecule: ribosomal RNA, 254 nt
Filed under: uncultured bacterium
Lineage: Bacteria
Description: partial 16S ribosomal RNA
Rfam family: Bacterial small subunit ribosomal RNA
Source: RNAcentral